This 345-nucleotide ribosomal RNA is filed under the name uncultured bacterium. RNAcentral's name for it is "bacterial SSU rRNA". It matches the Rfam family "Bacterial small subunit ribosomal RNA", at positions 53 to 398 of the family's 1533-position model. The record is from RNAcentral.
ACCAUGCAGUCGAACGGUGAGCUCAGCUUGCUGGGUGGAUCAGUGGCGAACGGGUGAGUAACACGUGAGCAACCUGCCCCGGACUCUGGGAUAAGCGCUGGAAACGGCGUCUAAUACUGGAUAUGAACCGCAGCCGCAUGGCUAGUGGUUGGAAAGAUUUUUCGGUCUGGGAUGGGCUCGCGGCCUAUCAGCUUGUUGGUGAGGUAAUGGCUCACCAAGGCGUCGACGGGUAGCCGGCCUGAGAGGGUGACCGGCCACACUGGGACUGAGACACGGCCCAGACUCCUACGGGAGGCAGCAGUGGGGAAUAUUGCACAAUGGGCGGAAGCCUGAUGCAGCAACGCC